GAUUCCCUAGUAACGGCGAGUGAACCGGGAAGAGCUCAAAUUUGAAAUCUGGCGUCCUCAGGGCGUCCGAGUUGUAAUCUAUAGAGGCGUUUUCCGUGCCGGACCGUGUCCAAGUUCCUUGGAACAGGAUAUCAAAGAGGGUGACAAUCCCGUACUUGACACGACGACCGGUGCUCUGUGAUACGUCUUCUACGAGUCGAGUUGUUUGGGAAUGCAGCUCAAAAUGGGUGGUGAGUUCCAUCUAAAGCUAAAUAUUGGCGAGAGACCGAUAGCGAACAAGUACCGUGAGGGAAAGAUGAAAAGCACUUUGGAAAGAGAGUUAAACAGUACGUGAAAUUGUUGAAAGGGAAACGAUUGAAGUCAGUCGUGACCGAGAGGCUCAGCCGGUUCUGCCGGUGUAUUCCCCUCGGUCGGGUCAACAUCAGUUUUGUCCGGUGGAUAAGGGCGGCGGGAAGGUGGCACCCUCGGGUGUGUUAUAGCCCGCCGUCGCAUACAUCGGGCGAGACUGAGGAACGCAGCUCGCCUUCAUGGCCGGGGUUCGCCCACGUCCGAGCUUAGGAUGUUGACAUAAUGGCUUUAA
RNAcentral lists this ribosomal RNA (580 nucleotides) under Papiliotrema laurentii. RNAcentral describes it as "partial large subunit ribosomal RNA". It matches the Rfam family "Eukaryotic large subunit ribosomal RNA", at positions 73 to 643 of the family's 3401-position model. Lineage: Eukaryota; Fungi; Basidiomycota; Tremellomycetes; Tremellales; Rhynchogastremaceae. The record is from RNAcentral.